Molecule: ribosomal RNA, 549 nt
Filed under: uncultured Amphinema
Lineage: Eukaryota; Fungi; Basidiomycota; Agaricomycetes; Atheliales; Atheliaceae
Description: eukaryotic LSU rRNA
Rfam family: 5.8S ribosomal RNA (bases 147-301)
Source: RNAcentral
CGCUGGCCUCGAAAGAGGCAUGUGCACGCCUGAGCUCUUAAAUCCACAACACACCUGUGAACCCACCGUAGGCCUUCGGGCUUAUGUAUCAUAUACUCUGAAUGUGUCAUAGAAUGUUCAUGUUGCCUUAAAACGCAAUCAAAUACAACUUUCAACAACGGAUCUCUUGGCUCUCGCAUCGAUGAAGAACGCAGCGAAAUGCGAUAAGUAAUGUGAAUUGCAGAUUUUCAGUGAAUCAUCGAAUCUUUGAACGCACCUUGCGCUCCUUGGUAUUCCGAGGAGCAUGCCUGUUUGAGUGUCAUUAAAUUCUCAACCCCACCGAUUUGUUUUGGGGGGAUUGGACUUGGAGUGUGCUGGCGAAGGUCGGCUCCUCUUUAAAUGCAUCAGUGGAGAGAAACUUGCCCCAGUGUGAUAAUCCUGUUGUGCUGUGGUGGGUGAAAGUCUGCUUUCAACUGUCCUCCGGGACGAUACACCAUCUUAUUUUGACCUCAAAUCAGGUAGGACUACCCGCUGAACUUAAGCAUAUCAAUAAGCGGAGGAAAAGAAACU